This 301-nucleotide ribosomal RNA is filed under the name uncultured bacterium. Its description in RNAcentral is "partial 16S ribosomal RNA". It matches the Rfam family "Bacterial small subunit ribosomal RNA", at positions 509 to 807 of the family's 1533-position model. The record is from RNAcentral.
CAGUAGCCACGGUAAUACGAAGGGUGCAAGCGUUACUCGGAAUUACUGGGCGUAAAGCGUGCGUAGGUGGUGGUUUAAGUCCGUUGUGAAAGCCCUGGGCUCAACCUGGGAAUUGCAGUGGAUACUGGGUCACUAGAGUGUGGUAGAGGAUAGUGGAAUUUCCGGUGUAGCAGUGAAAUGCGUAGAGAUCGGAAGGAACAUCUGUGGCGAAGGCGACUAUCUGGGCCAACACUGACACCGAGGCACGAAAGCGUGGGGAGCAAACAGAAUUAGAUACCCGAGUAGUCCCUGUCUCUUAUAC